Long non-coding RNA from Amphiprion ocellaris (clown anemonefish), 305 nucleotides. RefSeq lists it as uncharacterized. The record is from RefSeq and is a predicted model, not a curated record. The transcript has 3 exons. Lineage: Eukaryota; Metazoa; Chordata; Actinopteri; Pomacentridae.
UGUAUGCAUGAGGGAGGAUUUCCUGAAGACCAAAGAGGCCAUUACCCAGGGGCCAUUAGGCCUCUAGUAGAGCAUGUCAAUGAGUGCUGAGUCUUGCUCUGUUUUCACAUGCAGCCACUUGUCUCUGUGUGUGAGGCUCAGAACGCGGGGAGUGAGUCAUCAUCAUCAUCAGGAUGAAACGCUCUGACAUUUGAGCAUGAAAGUCCCAGCGUGCCUUUCAGCUCAACAUCUCUGGGCGCAAAUGUGUCACACCUGGCCUCCAGUUGAAAUGGCAAGAUCAGAGAACAGACAGCAGUGCAGGGAAA